GACGAACGCUGGCGGCGUGCUUAACACAUGCAAGUCGAACGCUGAAGGCCUGGCUUUUGUUGGGUUGGAUGAGUGGCGAACGGGUGAGUAACACGUGAGUAACCUGCCCUCUUCUUUGGGAUAACGCCCGGAAACGGGUGCUAAUACUGGAUAUUCACUGAUCUUCGCAUGGGGGUUGGUGGAAAGGUUUGUUCUGGUGGGGGAUGGGCUCGCGGCCUAUCAGCUUGUUGGUGGGGUGAUGGCCUACCAAGGCUUUGACGGGUAGCCGGCCUGAGAGGGUGACCGGUCACAUUGGGACUGAGAUACGGCCCAGACUCCUACGGGAGGCAGCAGUGGGGAAUAUUGCACAAUGGGCGAAAGCCUGAUGCAGCGACGCCGCGUGAGGGAUGGAGGCCUUCGGGUUGUAAACCUCUUUCGCUCAUGGUCAAGCCGCAACUGUGGGUUGUGGUGAAGGUAGUGGGUAAAGAAGCGCCGGCUAACUACGUG
This 486-nucleotide ribosomal RNA is filed under the name uncultured bacterium. RNAcentral's name for it is "partial 16S ribosomal RNA". It matches the Rfam family "Bacterial small subunit ribosomal RNA", at positions 28 to 507 of the family's 1533-position model. The record is from RNAcentral.